Molecule: transfer RNA, 74 nt
Filed under: Ornithorhynchus anatinus (platypus)
Lineage: Eukaryota; Metazoa; Chordata; Mammalia; Monotremata; Ornithorhynchidae
Rfam family: tRNA
About the family: Transfer RNA (tRNA) molecules are approximately 80 nucleotides in length. Their secondary structure includes four short double-helical elements and three loops (D, anti-codon, and T loops).
Source: Rfam by way of RNAcentral
AGCAGCAUGGCUCAGUGGAAAGAGCACGGACUUUUUGGAGUCCGAGGUCAUGAGUUCAAAUCCCACCUCUGCCA